Paramormyrops kingsleyae is the source of this 132-nucleotide non-coding RNA. Ensembl annotates it as small Cajal body-specific RNA 8. NCBI's taxonomy places the organism in Eukaryota, Metazoa, Chordata, Actinopteri, Osteoglossiformes, Mormyridae. The record is from Ensembl.
UGGGAGUGAUGAUACCUGGGUUGACCUAAGACUUGGUCUGCCUGUCACUGACCCUCCCUAUAGCAUUCCUGCUCUCUGAUGACCGGGGCGGACUGAGGGAAACCGCAACGGACAGAUACGGGGCAGACAAAC